This 603-nucleotide long non-coding RNA is filed under the name Capsicum annuum. RNAcentral describes it as "long non-coding RNA (CANN_LNC008606)". Lineage: Eukaryota; Viridiplantae; Streptophyta; Magnoliopsida; Solanales; Solanaceae. The record is from RNAcentral.
CAACAUUAUUACAUCCAAUGUUCUAUCAAUAAAACAAAUCAAAAUAAGCACAACAAACAUGAACAACAGAGUAAUCUAUGCACCCAAGCAUUGUCGCCCAGUUGCACUUCCUACCCCUCCCUCUCAUUUACAAUUCUUGCUAGUAUAUAUUCUAUCCAUUUUUUGUCUCGACAUAUCUUCCUUCUAUUUAAUAUCUCCGUAAUCUUAUAUUUACACUCCAUCUGGAUCCGCCUACAAAUCGUUUCUGGUCUAGGAACUUUCUGAUUCCACACCAUGGCAUUGUGCGCCUUCCAUAUAUAGUUCCUAGUUGCAGCAGUAAUUGCCCAUAGAAACGUCCUGCUCACCUUUUCUUUAGCCCUUCGCGUGAUUCUCGUCUACCAACCUUGCAACGUUUGAUUCCUAAUAGUUAUUUGGAGCCACUGCAUAAUUCUUUCCAGACAUAUUUGAGAGAAAUCGCAUUGAAAUAAUAGAUGAUCAUUAUCUUCAUUCAUCCUUCCACAUAGUGCACUGAUCUCAUCUGUGAUCAAUUCCAUCUUCUUCUGUCUAUUAUUCAUCAACAACCUUUGAUAGAUUGUUAACCAGCAAAUAAAUUGUUGUUUUGGU